This is a long non-coding RNA of Hypanus sabinus (Atlantic stingray), 451 nucleotides long. RefSeq lists it as uncharacterized. The transcript has 3 exons. The record is from RefSeq and is a predicted model, not a curated record. Lineage: Eukaryota; Metazoa; Chordata; Chondrichthyes; Myliobatiformes; Dasyatidae.
GUCUCGGCACUGUUUGUCUGCUUCGGCUGCAAGUCCUUACUGUUGCUAGGAUACGGGCCUGUGUGUUGGUUUAUUCCGCUCCAGCAGGUACAAGAAAUGGAAUCUGCCCAUGAGGGUUCUUCCGGGGCCGUGUCCGUAUAGUGAUGCAGUGGACAGAAGCUUCUGGAAUGAUGAGCUGGAUUGUUGUUACCUGUGAGACUGGCCACACUCAGGGUGGAAGGCUGAUCAUCAGCAGACAUCCUACCAUCGUGAUGUAGGAACCACGAGCCAUAUUUAAAUGACAAAAAAGCAAAUUUUAAACAAGCAAUUAAAAAUAGCCGAAUCACAUCCAAUUGUUGUCACGGAUUCUUGUCUGCUUUACCCUGGGCAAAGCAGCGUGAGGGGAGAGAAAUGUGGGACACACCGUUAAAGAGUCGCUUCUGACCGUGAACAUAGAAUUAUAGAACCAAAA